RNAcentral lists this ribosomal RNA (590 nucleotides) under uncultured fungus. RNAcentral describes it as "eukaryotic LSU rRNA". The stretch from base 238 to 388 matches the Rfam family "5.8S ribosomal RNA". Lineage: Eukaryota; Fungi. The record is from RNAcentral.
CUUGGCAUUUAGAGGAAGUAAAAGUCGUAACAAGGUUUCCGUAGGUGAACCUACGAAGGAUCAUUACAAGUGAGGCUACCGAACGUUGGAAACAGCGGUUAGGGCUUACACCCACCCGUGUCUACAUACUAUUGUUGCUUUGGCGGGCCGUGCCUCCACUGCGGGCUCUGCUCGUGUGUGCCCGCCAGAGAACCAAACUCUAAUGUUAGUGAUGUCUGAGUACUAUCUAAUAGUUAAAACUUUCAACAACGAUCUCUUGGUUCUGGCAUCGAUGAAGAACGCAGCGAAAUGCGAUAAGUAUGUGAAUUGCAGAAUUCAGUGAAUCAUCGAAUCUUUGAACGCACAUUGGCCCUGUGGUAUUCCGCAGGGCAUGCCUGUUCGAGCGUCAUUUAACCACCACGCCUAGCGUGGUAUUGGGGCACGCGGUCUCCGCGGCCCUCAAAAUUGUGGCGGCGCCGGUGGGCUCUAAGCGUAGUACACACUCCCGCUAUAGAGUCCCCCGGUGGCUCGCCAGAACCCCCAAUUUUUACAGGUUGACCUCGGACAGGUAGGGAUACCCGCUGAACUUAAGCAUAUCAAUAAGCGGAGGA